GAGUUUGAUCAUGGCUCAGGAUGAACGCUAGCGGCAGGCCUAACACAUGCAAGUCGAGGGGUAACAGGUUUAGUUUACUAAAUGCUGACGACCGGCGCACGGGUGCGUAACGCGUAUGCAACCUACCUAUAACAAGGGGAUAGCUUAGAGAAAUUUGAAUUAAUACCCUAUAAUGUAAUUGACUGGCAUCGGUUAAUUAUUAAAGAUUUAUUUUGGUUAUAGAUGGGCAUGCGUAGCAUUAGCUAGAUGGUGAGGUAAUGGCUCACCAUGGCGACGAUGCUUAGGGGUUCUGAGAGGAAGGUCCCCCACACUGGUACUGAGACAAGGACCAGACUCCUACGGGAGGCAGCAGUGAGGAAUAUUGGUCAAUGGACGGAAGUCUGAACCAGCCAUGCCGCGUGUAGGAAGACUGCCCUAUGGGUUGUAAACUACUUUUAUAUAGGAAGAAAGUUUGUCUUGCGAGAUAAUUUGACGGUACUAUAUGAAUAAGCACCGGCUAACUCCGUGCCAGCAGCCGCGGUAAUACGGAGGGUGCGAGCGUUAUUCGGAUUUAUUGGGUUUAAAGGGUGCGUAGGCUGGAGCAUAAGUUAGUGGUGAAAUUUUUCGGCUCAACCGGAGACGUGCCAUUAAAACUGUGUUUCUUGAAUGUGAUUGAAGUAGGCGGAAUAUAUCAUGUAGCGGUGAAAUGCAUAGAUAUGAUAUAGAACACCGAUAGCGAAGGCAGCUUACUAAGUCAUGAUUGACGCUGAUGCACGAAAGCGUGGGUAUCGAACAGGAUUAGAUACCCUGGUAGUCCACGCUGUAAACGAUGAUCACUAUCUAUUGGGUUUUCGG
Molecule: ribosomal RNA, 834 nt
Filed under: uncultured Bacteroidota bacterium
Lineage: Bacteria; Pseudomonadati; Bacteroidota
Description: bacterial SSU rRNA
Rfam family: Bacterial small subunit ribosomal RNA
Source: RNAcentral